UAACCUAAAUCUUUAUUAAAGUUGGACGGUUUGUUUGAUUGUGUCGAAUGAUUAAAGACAGGGCACUGUGCAUACACGGGUUGCACGUUUCUUCUCCUUUUCCUUUUCCUUUCCGUGAUUUCCUCAAACCUGUUUUUUCAUUCUUCCUCUCUCCCCGUCAAGCUCUCUCUCUCUCCCUCACUCUCAAACACACGGCAACAACACCAAUUCUUCAAAACUUCACGGAUCGACGAAAAUAAAAUCACCAUCUUCUUCUUUUCGACGAUACGAGUCCAACCAUACCAAUUUCAGGACUUUUCAAGCUUAUAGGAAGCUUCUUGAGGUCCUUAGGAGGCUUGGAGUAAUUCGUUGGAAGUUUUUGGACGAAAAAACACGGAGAACGACAAGUUCAAAGUUUGGCCGGAGCUUUCGAGGCUUUUUCCGGCGAAUCCACGGCGAGUUAGGGGUCGAGGUAGAAAUUCCGGCAAAACACCCACCUCCGGCGAAACCAGUCCGGCGACGCGAGGAAGAAGACGCGCGCGUGGGCAGCGCGUCUACAGUGCGCGUGAGGGCGCGUGAGAGCCCCAAAUUGAGUUCUAAAAAUUGUCACGUGUUCGUGACGUCGUGUAGAUCACCGUGGUAUAUUCACACACCCAA
This is a long non-coding RNA of Pyrus x bretschneideri (Chinese white pear), 636 nucleotides long. RefSeq lists it as uncharacterized. The transcript is spliced from 3 exons. Lineage: Eukaryota; Viridiplantae; Streptophyta; Magnoliopsida; Rosales; Rosaceae. The record is from RefSeq and is a predicted model, not a curated record.